CAGCCAUGCCGCGUUGAGUGAAGAAGGCCUUCGGGUUGUAAAGCUCUUUCGGCCGGAACGAAAUCGUCCGGGCUAAUACCCCGGAUGGAUGACGGUACCGGAAGAAGAAGCACCGGCCAACUACGUGCCAGCAGCCGCGGUAAUACGUAGGGUGCGAGCGUUGUCCGGAAUUACUGGGCGUAAAGAGCUCGUAGGUGGUUUGUCGCGUUGUCCGUGAAAACUCACAGCUCAACUGUGGGCGUGCGGGCGAUACGGGCAGACUGGAGUACUGUAGGGGAGACUGGAAUUCCUGGUGUAGCGGUGGAAUGCGCAGAUAUCAGGAGGAACACCGGUGGCGAAGGCGGGUCUCUGGGCAGUAACUGACGCUGAGGAGCGAAAGCGUGGGGAGCGAACAGGAUUAGAUACCCUGGUAGUCCACGCCGUAAACGGUGGGUACUAGGUGUGGGUUUCCUUCCUUUAGGGAUCCGUGCCGUAGCUAACGCAUUAAGUACCCCGCCUGGGGAGUACGGCCGCAAGGCUA
RNAcentral lists this ribosomal RNA (520 nucleotides) under uncultured bacterium. RNAcentral's name for it is "bacterial SSU rRNA". It matches the Rfam family "Bacterial small subunit ribosomal RNA", at positions 389 to 896 of the family's 1533-position model. The record is from RNAcentral.